Molecule: unclassified non-coding RNA, 383 nt
Filed under: uncultured Hypocreales
Lineage: Eukaryota; Fungi; Ascomycota; Sordariomycetes; Hypocreales
Description: sequence contains ITS2
Rfam family: 5.8S ribosomal RNA (bases 1-154)
Source: RNAcentral
AACUUUCUGCAACGUAUCUCUUGGUUCUGGCAUCGGUUAAGAACGCAGCGAAAUGCGAUAAGUAAUGUGAAUUGCAGAAUUCAGUGAAUCAUCGAAUCUUUGAACGCACAUUGCGCCCGCCAGCAUUCUGGCGGGCAUGCCUGUCCGAGCGUCAUUUCAACCCUCGCGCCCGUCUGGGCCGCGGCGUUGGGGACCGGCCCGCCCCCCGGGGCGAGCCGCCCCCCAAAAUCAGUGGCGGUCCCGCCGCAGCCUCCCCUGCGUAGUAGCACACCUCGCACCGGAGCGCGGCGCGGCCACGCCGUAAAACCCCCGACUCCCACGAGUUUGACCUCGGAUCAGGUAGGAAUACCCGCUGAACUUAAGCAUAUCAAUAAGCGGAGGCU